Long non-coding RNA from Bombus huntii, 877 nucleotides. RefSeq lists it as uncharacterized. NCBI's taxonomy places the organism in Eukaryota, Metazoa, Arthropoda, Insecta, Hymenoptera, Apidae. The record is from RefSeq and is a predicted model, not a curated record. The transcript is spliced from 3 exons.
AGAACUGUUACAUUUUACGACACGUAUAACAUCGAACAUUUGCCAACGUAGCGAUGCCAGCGUACAUAUAUAUGUAGUGGUGUACUGGUCAUCUUUUUUCCACACGUUUUUAGCUUUUUAGCUGUUUGUGAAUGGGCGCCUAAUCAGCCAAUCAGAAAUGGCCGGUAUACUAUGAAUCCUUUUCUUCAAUGUUUGAAGAGCUGGAUAUUGAUCGAAAGCUGGUGCCCCAAAUAUAUACUCGAAAUUUUCAAGGGCCUCUGCAAAUACGAAGUCCGCCCAUGUCGUCUGAAAAAAGGAUCCUCCUCCAUGCGAUAGUAGCAGAUAUCUGAAACGUAUAUGAAACCAACCGUUACGUUCAUUUGUGUUUUUCCCCCCAAACGAAGAGAAAAUAAGUUGUGAAAGAAGGAGUAGCCUCUCAUAGUUCCUACAAUUUCUUCAUUCUCUUUGCUUUCUUCAAUAUUGUCUCAACAAGUUCCUGUGGUUCACGAUACUUAAAAUAUAUACAAUGUUACCAGCGUGGAAAUUGUCUUGGAAACUUGGAAAAUCUUUCAAGAGGAACAACAUUGCUAACUGAGAUUCGAGAAAGGAAAGUACCAAGAAUGUCGAGAUAUAAACAACCAUUUGUGGAAAGGUCAGGAGAAGCAGAAUUAUCGAAUAAACUUUAUAUAACUCUUAGUGAUUAAGUAAGAGAAGAGUGGGUGUGUCCUACCCGGUGGAAGGAUAUUGACCGUUCGAAGGAUGUCUUCGGAUACUCGCAGCGUAUCCUCCAUGGUUUCAAGUACCUUCCAUAAAUCUCAUAGAUUUCCUAGAAAAGGUCCUUCAAACCAAACAAACGUCUGUUUCCGAAGAAUUUCCAAAGACUAUUGUCUGCCACGGC